GAUGAACGCUAGCGGCAGGCUUAAUACAUGCAAGUCGAGGGGUAACAUGGGGUAGCAAUACUCUGAUGACGACCGGCAAACGGGUGCGGAACACGUACGCAACUUUCCCAAAACUGGUGAAUAGCCCUCCGAAAGGAGGAUUAAUACACCGUAACAUAACGAGGUGGCAUCAUCUUGUUAUUAUAGCUCCGGCGGUUUUGGAUGGGCGUGCGCCUGAUUAGGUAGUUGGCGGGGUAACGGCCCACCAAGCCUACGAUCAGUAACUGGUGUGAGAGCACGACCAGUCACACGGGCACUGAGACACGGGCCCGACUCCUACGGGAGGCAGCAGUAAGGAAUAUUGGUCAAUGGACGAAAGUCUGAACCAGCCAUGCCGCGUGAAGGAUGAAGGCCC
RNAcentral lists this ribosomal RNA (394 nucleotides) under uncultured bacterium. Its description in RNAcentral is "bacterial SSU rRNA". It matches the Rfam family "Bacterial small subunit ribosomal RNA", at positions 28 to 417 of the family's 1533-position model. The record is from RNAcentral.